UACGUAGGGGGCAAGCGUUGUCAGGAAUCAUUGGGCGUAAAGAGCGUGUAGGCGGCCCGAUAAGUCAGCCGUGAAAGUCCAGGGCUCAACCCUGGUAUGCCGGUGGAAACUGUCGGGCUAGAGUCCGGAAGAGGCGAGUGGAAUUCCUGGUGUAGCGGUGAAAUGCGCAGAUAUCAGGAGGAACACCAAUGGCGAAGGCAGCUCGCUGGGACGGUACUGACGCUGAGACGCGAAAGCGUGGGGAGCAAACAGG
RNAcentral lists this ribosomal RNA (253 nucleotides) under uncultured bacterium. Its description in RNAcentral is "partial 16S ribosomal RNA". It matches the Rfam family "Bacterial small subunit ribosomal RNA", at positions 524 to 776 of the family's 1533-position model. The record is from RNAcentral.